RNAcentral lists this ribosomal RNA (139 nucleotides) under uncultured Clostridium sp. RNAcentral's name for it is "partial 16S ribosomal RNA". It matches the Rfam family "Bacterial small subunit ribosomal RNA", at positions 355 to 511 of the family's 1533-position model. Lineage: Bacteria; Bacillati; Bacillota; Clostridia; Eubacteriales; Clostridiaceae. The record is from RNAcentral.
UGGGGAAUAUUGCACAAUGGGCGAAAGCCUGAUGCAGCAACGCCGCGUGAGUGAUGACGGCCUUCGGGUUGUAAAACUCUGUCUUCAGGGACGAUAAUGACGGUACCUGAGGAGGAAGCCACGGCUAACUACGUGCAAU